This 2217-nucleotide unclassified non-coding RNA is filed under the name Harpegnathos saltator (Jerdon's jumping ant). RNAcentral describes it as "cytochrome P450 4C1, transcript variant X9". Lineage: Eukaryota; Metazoa; Arthropoda; Insecta; Hymenoptera; Formicidae. The record is from RNAcentral.
UCCUACUCCACACACUUAUGUGGAUAGUUGUGUGUAGAACUCACAGUUCAGUUAUUAUACAUCAGUUUUUAGCAAAGUGUGAAGUCUUCAGACACGAUACAUAUUGAAUGUCUGUUGAAAUUUCGCUCGUGUAAAGAUAAAAAAAGACCAAGUCUUAAAGCAGUUAUCAUUUUGACGAAUAAUGAUCAUCACGAUAUUAUUAACAUGCCUUUUUCUCGUGAUCACGUAUCUUUGUGUCGCGCACUUUGGAAGAAAUGGACGACUUAUUGAUCAAAUACCAGGAUCUAUAUGUUUUCCUACUCCAUAUGUUAUACGAAUUUGUUCAUAUUCGCCAGAACAACUAUGGCUCUUAGCACUCGAUUACGCGAAGAGAUUUUAUCCAAUUAGUAAAUUUUGGAUUUUAACGAUUCCUAACGUUUUGAUUUAUCACCCGGACGACGUGCAGAAAGUACUAAGCGGUAUGGAGCAUACUGUGAAAGGUUACGAGUACAAACUUCUUCAUCCUUGGUUAGGUGAUGGCCUUGUUAUUAGUCAAGGAGCCAAGUGGCAUAAAAGACGAAAGAUACUAACGCCUGCAUUUCACUUUUCUGUAUUGAAAGAAUUUGUCAAAACUUUUAUUGAAGAGGGUAAUCGCGUAGUGAAGUCUUUUAAUCCUGCAGAAGAGUCAAUUAUCGAAGACGUGAUGUUAUUUACCAGUCAUCAUACAUUAAAUGCAAUAUGUGAAACGUCUAUGGGCAUUUUUUUGAAUGACUCUGAUCAGUCUCAACAAUAUCGGCAGACUAUUCACCAUAUGGGUAAAUUUAUAAUCGAAAGAUUGGUCAAACCAUGGCUUUUCAAUGAUACGAUAUUUAACUUAACAUCACUGAGUACUAUACAAUCAAAGUAUUUGAAUAUCUUGCAUUCAUUUACUGAGAAAAUUAUUGCGAAUAGAAAACGUUAUCAUGAAGAAACCGGAGGUCGAUAUUUGAAGUACUUUGAAAAUAACACAGAAACAGAAAAUGAAGAAGUGAUAGGGAUGAAAGAGAAACGAAUGGCCAUGUUGGACAUUUUGCUAGCAGAAUCUCGCAACGGUAAUUUGACUGAUUCAGAUAUCAGAGAAGAAAUUGACACUUUCGUGUUCGAGGGUCAUGACACUGUGGCGACAAGUUUAUGUUUUAGUCUACUAUUAUUAGCUGAGCAUAAGGAUAUUCAGGAUCGUGUAAGAAAGGAAAUUAAUGAGGUAAUGCAGGAAAAUAAUAGGAAGCUUACGAUGAAUGCGUUACAGAAUCUACCAUAUUUGGAGAGAUGCUUGAAAGAAUCAUUAAGACUGUAUCCUAGCGUUCCUGUAAUAUCGCGCAUUUGCACCACUGAUUUAAAAUUACAAUCAUAUACAAUACCAAAAGGCACAACGAUGCAUCUUUUUAUCUAUGCUCUUCAUCACGAUCCCAACUUUUGGCCGAAUCCGAAGGUAUUUGAUCCAGACAGAUUUUUACCAGAGAAUAUACAGAAACGUCAUCCUUAUUCCUAUCUACCGUUCAGUGCAGGAUUACGAAAUUGUAUAGGUCAACGAUUUGCCAUGUUGGAGUUGAAAGCUAUGAUAGCUAGCCUGGUGUACAAUUUUUACUUGGAACCCACUGAUUAUUUGAAGGAUGUUUCAUUCAAGUUGGAUAUUUUAUUACGCACCUCACGUCCGAUCCGCAUGAAAGUUAUUCCAAUUAAACGGGAGUAAUUGUCUAACGCGAGUACUAAUUCGGAGGAAAGAAUAUUUCGCGAACGAAACAUUAUGUUACUCUUAUAAGGUUUGGAAACACCUAACACGGGAUAUCGAAUUUUGAAUUUUUUGAGUGUUUUCUGCUAUAUUGAAAUGUGACGCGUUAUUGGAGCACUGCGUUGGUAGCUAUAUGUGGCGACAGCUUGAAUAAUCUAAUUUGGCAAGUAGCUCCAAAAAUAAUGCACAGCGGAGUCAUUAUUGUUGAAAUUGUGGCACACACAGCUACUUGCAUGUUUAAUAAUAAUGUAACUUCAUUAUUACAAAUAAUGCAUGAAAUGCGUGUAUCUGUUAGGCUGAACGUACAAUAUACUAUACAGGAAGAUGGCCGCCGCACAAACAAAGGUGCGCGACUUGGGAUUACUAAAAAAGCGAGAGCACGUCGUCGCCAGCGAAUGAAAAUGUGAAAGACUCACUAUAUCAUCCGUCAGGAAAGACCUACAUUACGGCCCUGGUAUCGAUGAUUCGAU